AAGUCGUAACAAGGUUUCCGUAGGUGAACCUGCGGAAGGAUCAUUAAAAAAUUAAUGAAUGUCGGGGGGCGUUUGUCGCUCUCCGUGUAUUCAACCAACCCGCUCUUGUAUUUGGAUCAACCAAAAAUUAACAAAAAUACUUGUAUAUAAUAAAAAUAAACUUUCAACAACGGAUCUCUUGGCUCUC
Molecule: unclassified non-coding RNA, 187 nt
Filed under: fungal sp.
Lineage: Eukaryota; Fungi
Description: partial internal transcribed spacer region
Rfam family: Eukaryotic small subunit ribosomal RNA (bases 1-46)
Source: RNAcentral